CAGUUCCCCAAUUGGAGGCAGUGGUGGUGGGUUUCUCCCCUCAACUCUUGAGUAUUAUAAUAUUAUUACUAUUCAACUAACAGUGAUCAAUGGAGCCCACCAACUCUUAAAAUUUGGGUCUGUGAGGAGUUAUCCCUUCAACUUUUGAGUAGUAUUAUUAGUAUUCAGCUAAUAGCAAUAUUUACAAAAGCCACCAACCGCUAAUUUGGGGUUGUUCCACCAGCUUUGACUUAUUAUUAUUUGGCUAAUAGCAAUAUUUCUGAAAGUCAUGGAUUACUAAAUUUGAAUUUGUGAGGGGUUGUUUCCUCAGCUUCAACUAUUAUUAUUUAUACUCAAACAAUAGCGGUAUUUACCAAAGCCACUCACUCCUAAUUUGGACCUGUGAGGUAUUAUCUGUUCAGCUCUGACAAUAAUUACUAUUAUUUAUGAAAGUUAUCGAUUCCUAAAUUUGGAUCUUUUGAGGAUGCAUCUCCUCAGCUCUGGGUCUCCUUCAAAUACUUAAAUCCAAAGGUUCUUAAUUGAAGAUCUGUGAGGGGUUAUCCCAUCAGCUUUGAUUAUUAUUUAUAUCCAAGCAAUAGCAAUAUUUAUGAAAACCACCAACUCCUCAAUUGGCACCUGUGAGGAGUUAUCCCCUGAACUGUGGCGGAUUCUUCUUCAUCAACUAAUAUUUUAGACAGCCACCAAUUCUUAAUUUGGAUCUGCAAAGGAUUAUCCCAAAUUGUCAGGUUAUGCCAAUAUUGGGCUCAUUGGACAGAAUAUAAAACAGAAUUUUAAACUCCUUUUUAGUCCAAUGCUUACGAUUUGGGACAAAAAUAAAGCAGUUUUUUCCCUGUAUGAUUUUCUGUGCAGAAAAAAGCCUCACUUGCCAUCGUGAUUCACCUGUCGGGUUGGGAUUGGGAAGAGCCAGGUUGAAGUUCAGCAGCCCAACCUUCUCUUUAGUCCAAUCCUGGGCAGGCAAAUCUGAAUAAGUCCAAACUGUGAAAACUUCUGAUGAGAAACAGGUGCACCCUGAUCUAUACUGCCAAAGUGAUAACUUGACAACCGAAUUCAGCAGAAGAGUCAGAGAUGUGGCAUGGUCAUUCAGAUUUCUGUAGGGUGGAUGCACAUGCUACUCUAGUGUUGUAUGUUGAAUACAGCCCCUGUAUGAGGAGAUCCUGCUUUUUAGGGUAUGUGAGUCUUGCCCUUCACGUUCACAGCUGGAUCCCAGGUCACGACAGUGAGAGAAAAAUCCUUUAUUAGAAUGACUUUUUCUUUGGAUCGCUUUUGACAUUUGCACAGGCAGUUUCUUUUUAUAUAUCUCCUGCAAAUUACAUAUAUCAGCUGAUUAUUAUGUUUUUUUGCUUUGUUUUCUUUCAAGUUAAAGGACUGUGUUGUUUGGGUGGAAAACAAUUACAGAAAUACUGAAUUAAGCUUGCCACCUGGUUAGGAACUGGAAGAUAACCCUAAUUUGAGUUUGCUUUUUCAUUUUCAGAAUCUGUUUCAGUUGUAUCUUCCUCAGUGCAUCUCAGUAAGGUCCAAGCUAAGAUUUCUCCUGUGCAACAGACAGUCUGAACUUUUUAAAGAAAAGAAUAGAAAAUCAAGCCAAGAGAGCAAUCCAACUAUGGAAAUCACCAAUAGGAGCAGUUUCUUCUUAAAGAAGACGGCAAAGAAGAAAAUUAUUGUGCACAAUAUUGUGUUGAUGCAAAGAUUAAUAAUAAAACGCAUGAAAAGUG
Pantherophis guttatus is the source of this 1712-nucleotide non-coding RNA. The record is from RefSeq and is a predicted model, not a curated record. NCBI's taxonomy places the organism in Eukaryota, Metazoa, Chordata, Lepidosauria, Squamata, Colubridae.